This 116-nucleotide ribosomal RNA is filed under the name Microcebus murinus (gray mouse lemur). Lineage: Eukaryota; Metazoa; Chordata; Mammalia; Primates; Cheirogaleidae. The record is from RNAcentral.
GUCUACGGCCAUACCACCCUGAACGCGCCCAAUCUCGUAUGAUCUCGGAAGCUAAGCAGGGUUGGGCCUGGUUAGUACUUGUAUGGGAGAUGAAUAUUCUAUUGGGAUUGUAUAGU